RNAcentral lists this ribosomal RNA (976 nucleotides) under Salmonella enterica subsp. enterica serovar Enteritidis. Its description in RNAcentral is "partial 23S ribosomal RNA". It matches the Rfam family "Bacterial large subunit ribosomal RNA", at positions 711 to 1685 of the family's 2925-position model. The record is from RNAcentral. Lineage: Bacteria; Pseudomonadati; Pseudomonadota; Gammaproteobacteria; Enterobacterales; Enterobacteriaceae.
AGACCCGAAACCCGGUGAUCUAGCCAUGGGCAGGUUGAAGGUUGGGUAACACUAACUGGAGGACCGAACCGACUAAUGUUGAAAAAUUAGCGGAUGACCUGUGGCUGGGGGUGAAAGGCCAAUCAAACCGGGAGAUAGCUGGUUCUCCCCGAAAGCUAUUUAGGUAGCGCCUCGUGAAUUCAUCUCCGGGGGUAGAGCACUGUUUCGGCUAGGGGGCCAUCCCGGCUUACCAACCCGAUGCAAACUGCGAAUACCGGAGAAUGUUAUCACGGGAGACACACGGCGGGUGCUAACGUCCGUCGUGAAGAGGGAAACAACCCAGACCGCCAGCUAAGGUCCCAAAGUCAUGGUUAAGUGGGAAACGAUGUGGGAAGGCCCAGACAGCCAGGAUGUUGGCUUAGAAGCAGCCAUCAUUUAAAGAAAGCGUAAUAGCUCACUGGUCGAGUCGGCCUGCGCGGAAGAUGUAACGGGGCUAAACCAUGCACCGAAGCUGCGGCAGCGACACUGUGUGUUGUUGGGUAGGGGAGCGUUCUGUAAGCCUGUGAAGGUGUGUCGUGAGGCAUGCUGGAGGUAUCAGAAGUGCGAAUGCUGACAUAAGUAACGAUAAAGCGGGUGAAAAGCCCGCUCGCCGGAAGACCAAGGGUUCCUGUCCAACGUUAAUCGGGGCAGGGUGAGUCGACCCCUAAGGCGAGGCCGAAAGGCGUAGUCGAUGGGAAACGGGUUAAUAUUCCCGUACUUGGUGUUACUGCGAAGGGGGGACGGAGAAGGCUAUGUUGGCCGGGCGACGGUUGUCCCGGUUUAAGCGUGUAGGUGUGUGUUCCAGGUAAAUCCGGUUCACUUUAACACUGAGGCGUGACGACGAGGCACUACGGUGCUGAAGCAACAAAUGCCCUGCUUCCAGGAAAAGCCUCUAAGCAUCAGGUAACAUCAAAUCGUACCCCAAACCGACACAGGUGGUCAGGUAGAGAAUACCAAG